Molecule: ribosomal RNA, 640 nt
Filed under: uncultured Bacillota bacterium
Lineage: Bacteria; Bacillati; Bacillota
Description: bacterial SSU rRNA
Rfam family: Bacterial small subunit ribosomal RNA
Source: RNAcentral
UUCGGGUUGUAAAACUCUGUCUUCUGUGACGAACAAGCCUGUGAGUGGAAAGCUCAGGCCCUGACGGUAACAGAGGAGGAAGCCACGGCUAACUACGUGCCAGCAGCCGCGGUAAUACGUAGGUGGCAAGCGUUGUCCGGAAUCACUGGGCGUAAAGCGCGCGCAGGCGGCGAUCUACGUCUGGGGUGAAAGCCCGGAGCUCAACUCCGGGACUGCCUUGGAUACGGGAUCGCUUGAGGAUUGGAGAGGCAAGGGGAAUUCCACGUGUAGCGGUGAAAUGCGUAGAGAUGUGGAGGAACACCUGUGGCGAAGGCGCCUUGCUGGCCAAUUACUGACGCUGAGGCGCGAAAGCGUGGGGAGCAAACAGGAUUAGAUACCCUGGUAGUCCACGCCGUUAACGAUGAGUGCUAGGUGUUGGGGGGUACCACCCUCAGUGCCGAAGCUAACGCAUUAAGCACUCCGCCUGGGGAGUACGGUCGCAAGACUGAAACUCAAAGGAAUUGACGGGGGCCCGCACAAGCAGUGGAGCAUGUGGUUUAAUUCGAAGCAACGCGAAGAACCUUACCAAGACUUGACAUCCCGCUGACCGCUCUAGAGAUAGAGUUUCCCUUCGGGGCAGCGGUGACAGGUGGUGCAUGGU